Molecule: long non-coding RNA, 307 nt
Organism: Alosa alosa (allis shad)
Lineage: Eukaryota; Metazoa; Chordata; Actinopteri; Clupeiformes; Clupeidae
Exons: 3
Source: RefSeq, a predicted model, not a curated record
GGAGCCCCAGAUGGCGUGGGGGCAGCCUUAAAAAACCUGGCAGACCGAAUAGUGGCAUACGGCCAAAGCAUCCCAGAUGCAGAUACUCUGUUUCAGCAGCUGACCCUGAACUCCUCGGUAACUCUAUUCCAGGUGUCUGAGGACAAAAUUAAAGAGAGGGGUGAAUUGCUUCCUCCACACCUUAAGCCAGUCCCAGGGACAAUGAAAAUCCACCAACUGAUGUCCACCACUCCUGGGGUAGUUCACACGAGGGAAGUGUCAUGUUUCUGUCAGAAAAAUUGUGAGUGCUUCUCUCCAUCACGCCAUG